GAUGAAGAACGUAGCGAAAUGCGAUACGUAAUGUGAAUUGCAGAAUUCAGUGAAUCAUCGAAUCUUUGAACGCACCUUGCACCCUUUGGUAUUCCGAAGGGUAUGCUCGUUUGAGUGUCAUUGUACUCUCACACUUCCGAUCGUUUGGAUCGGGAGCGGUGGACUUGGGUGUUGCUGCUUUACUGUGGCUCACCUUAAAUGCAUUAGUGCACCUUUCGGUUGGACAUAGUACGGCGUGAUAAGUGUCUUCGCCGGCACCUCACAGAGGGUGGCUGAUCGGGAGCUCUGUGCUUCAAACCGUCCUCGGACAACAGCUGACACCUUGACCUCAAAUCGAGUAGGACUACCCGCUGAACUUAAGCAUAUCAAUAAGCGGAGGA
RNAcentral lists this unclassified non-coding RNA (380 nucleotides) under soil metagenome. RNAcentral describes it as "partial contains 5.8S ribosomal RNA, internal transcribed spacer 2, and large subunit ribosomal RNA". The stretch from base 1 to 120 matches the Rfam family "5.8S ribosomal RNA", at positions 35 to 154 of the family's 154-position model. The record is from RNAcentral.